GACCUAAACAGCAUGGCCGCUCCCACCAUCUUAGAUCGUAUUGAUUGUUCUUUGCCGUAACGUCCGUCUCUCCCACACGCGCUGCCUCUUUUUCUGCCCCCCUCCUCCGUCACGUUUUUCUGCCACCUUCUCCACUCAGCAAUCAUCAUUUGGCUUUUUCCAUUCGCAGAACGCUGUUGUACAACAACUCCCGGCUCCGUUUGGCUCUCGUUCCAGAAACUGCAAAAGCAGUCGGGGUUCCAACUUUUUUUUUCUUCCCCUCUGCCUCAAACUACAGGAUCUUUCUGCUUUAUAAUCUACAAUCUGCUGGGAUUUAAAGAGAGUAAAAAGGGGACUACUUGCAGAGACAAUGGGAGAGAGAGGAAAGCUGGUGGGGGUCAAAGCUUUCUUGCUCUUUCUGAGAUCUCUUGGUGCGACUCGAGCUCCGAGCGGUUUGCCUGACAUGGCGGCUACAGCUUCAGGCUUCUAGAGCGCCGCCGCCCCGCUACGCUCGCAGGCACGCAGCACAGAGACUUUAUUCUCCGCAAAAACUAGCCUCCUUUGUGCACUUCUAUUUGCUCCGCAGGUUUUAAAGAACAAAACAUCAGGAGGCUGAACACAGACGAUGUGCAGAAUUAGUGCUGUUUACACCAACGCGCUGCAGGAAAGGCUGAAACUGCGUUUCAUUCGCUGUCCUUUCCCUGAGUGAGCUGCGUGCUCGGUUGAGGCUUCCACACGGAAUGCUGCCAGUGCAGCUGCACGCCGAGACCUUUGAGGGCGCUCCCCAUCGAGCGGGGAACAAAGGCCGUGACCCCGAGGUCGCAAGGGUUACGCGGGAGGCCAAGUGGGCCCAUUGAAUGCUGCACUGCUGUUUGCUUUAAGAAGUCACCUCGGCAGCCGACUGUGACCACCCCUCUCUGCUCUCCGGGGGACGCGCGCACACACACACACACACACACACACACACACACACACACAUCACAGCCAGGUGUCACAACUGUUGUCUGGACAAGCAGGAAUAAAUAAAUACUAUAUUUCCACUGCAGUGUUUGUAAAAACAUUACACGUUAUUGUAAUAUUUACAAUAAGCAGAAGUUGAUCCUUAAAAUAAAUAAAAGAUUUAAAGGCCUUGCACUUUCAAGCCAGUCUACUGAAGUUCAUAAAAUGGAGCUCAUGCAGUCAAGUUGUCAUCACGAAAUGGUUGACGCUACACAUGCGCACACGAUGAAAAGCAAGGAAGGUGCGACUUGUGCAGUGCUGAGCUUACUUAAACCUCCCUGUCCACAUGAUAUAAUGAGACAUAUUCUCAAAAUGACUGCUUGUGAUUAAAUCUAAGCAUAGGACAAUUUAACGGAACCGAGGAAUAUCGGUAUUGACUUUUUUUUGGCAAGUCCAAGUUUGUGCAGCGAAUGUAAAAAUCAAUGUAGUUGCACUGAUAUUUUGAUAAUUGGUCUUCUCGUG
Molecule: long non-coding RNA, 1440 nt
Organism: Gasterosteus aculeatus aculeatus (three-spined stickleback)
Lineage: Eukaryota; Metazoa; Chordata; Actinopteri; Perciformes; Gasterosteidae
Source: Ensembl